RNAcentral lists this ribosomal RNA (580 nucleotides) under uncultured bacterium. RNAcentral's name for it is "partial 16S ribosomal RNA". It matches the Rfam family "Bacterial small subunit ribosomal RNA", at positions 355 to 1376 of the family's 1533-position model. The record is from RNAcentral.
UGAGGAAUAUUGGUCAAUGGGCGAGAGCCUGAACCAGCCAAAUCGCGUGAAGGAAGACUGCCUUAUGGGUUGUAAACUUCUUUUAUACAGGAAUAAAAAAGGGGACGUGUCCCUUAUUGCAUGUACUGUAUGAAUAAGCAUCGGCUAACUCCGUGCCAGCAGCCGCGGUAAUACGGAGGAUGCGAGCGUUAUCCGGAUUUAUUGGGUUUAAAGGGUGCGCAGGCGGGCUUUUAAGUCAGCGGUGAAAUCUCGGGGCUUAACUCCGAAACUGCCGUUGAAACUGGGAGUCUUGAGUAUGGAUGAAGUAGGCGGAAUUCGUUGUGUAGCGGUGACAUGCUUAGAUAUAACGAGGAACUCCGAUUGCGUAGGCAGCUUACUAAGCCAUAACUGACGCUCAAGCACGAAAGCGUGGGGAUCAAACAGGAUUAGAUACCCUGGUAGUCCACGCCGUAAACGAUGAUUACUAGUUGUAUGCGAUAUACCGUAUGUGACUAAGCGAAAAGCGAUAAGUAAUCCACCUGGGGAGUACGCCGGCAACGGUGAAACUCAAAUGAAUUGACGGGGUCAUAGCUGUUUCCUG